GAAGCCAGGCCAAGAAGAAUCCCAGGACUGGAAGGCCUUGUGGGACGUCCCAGGUUUGUCUUGUGUCAAUAGCACUGAUACUCAAUCUCCUACUCCCAUCUGUGAGCAUGCAGACCCUACUUGCCUUCCCACAGCCUCCCUUUUCAUAUUUUUCAUGUUUCUUUAGCUCUGUCUUCAAGCCUUGUUGCUCCCGCAAAAAAACCUGCCUCUUCCUCCAGUCCUCCCAAGCAGGGGGAACAGUCCUGACACCUUUCCAAGCCCUGGUCCAUGGACAUUGUGCCCCCUUCUCCCUGCCCAUGGUGACCUGCUCCAAAACCCUCAAGGAGAAGGGAGUGUAUGUCAUUUCCUCCCUGUAAAGUAAAGAUAAUUUUGCAGGGGACUGUGUGGAUGAAAUGACAUGAUGCAUGGAAAUCCCUUAGCGUGUGCCUGGCAUGUAAACUGCAGGUGUCAUCAUUAUUACUGAGGAAUACUGAGUCCCGAACAUGGCUGUCUCAUUGGUGGACUGGGGUCUCCCCCAGGGCAUUCAUCUACUAUGUGUUUAUUGCACCCUUUUUCCAUGUGAGGCACAUGCCAGGGACUGGGCACAUGGUAUGAACAAGACACAGGUCAUCGGUGUCCUCUUGAGCUCCCUGGCUUGGCAGCAGAUGCAUACCUGGGAAGGAUGCUAGGUCAUCCGGGAACUCUACCUCCUUCAAAUCCCUAAGGACUGUGCUCCCAAUCCGCUUACGCUCAAGGAAGAACUGAGACCAGGCCCACAGAGUAUGGCUGUGCAAGUUGUUCACUCUACAAGGGCACCUGGCCGGGGUCUUACCUUGAAUGGAGGAGAAGAGCUUGAAGAUGAGGGGACAGGCCAAGACAACUACCUGGCCCCGAGGGGUGGCUGGCCAGCAGAUGAGGAAAUGGAGGCACAGACUGAUUAGAAAACCAGCUCAAGGUCAUGUUGCUGGGUUACUCAGGCUGAAAUGCUCAAGACACUCUGUCUCAAGGGAUUUGUGGCUGUUUCAUCCUCAAGUAUAGGGGGAAUAGUGGCCAGGAAGAUCUCAGAGGUGGCUUCUGGAAGAGGAAUCUGGGUACUGGCUACCCUGCCUUGUGUCCCAUCAUUGGUCUGUCUUGCCUGUCUUGGAGCACAUUUCUCACCAAGAAAUACUUCUAAGGGGCCAGGCGUGGUGACUCAUGCUUGUAAUUCCAAGCACUUUGGGAGGCUGAGGCAGGUGGAUCACCUGAAGCCAGGAGUUCAAGAGCAGCCUGGCCAACAUGGCGAAACCCUGUCUCUACUAAAAAUACAAAAUUUAGCCAGGCAUGGUGGCGGGAGCCUGUAAUCUCAGCUCCUAGGGAGGCUGAGCCAGAAGAAUCGCUUAAACCUGGAAGCUGGAGGUUGCAGUGAGCCAAGAUCACACCACCACACUCCAGCCUGGGUGACAGAGCAAGACUCCAUCUCAAAAAGAAAAAAAAGAAAAAAAGGAAAUACUUCUAAGUUAUGUGAGAGAGUACAUACUGACAUUUUCAAUGGGUACAAUAA
RNAcentral lists this long non-coding RNA (1519 nucleotides) under Homo sapiens (human). RNAcentral's name for it is "PREDICTED lncRNA (TCONS_00191772)". The record is from RNAcentral. Lineage: Eukaryota; Metazoa; Chordata; Mammalia; Primates; Hominidae.